GCCGAAGUGGCGGAAUGGCAGACGCGCUGCGUUCAGGGCGCAGUGCCCCUAAGGGCGUGAGGGUUCAAAUCCCUCCUUCGGCACCA
RNAcentral lists this transfer RNA (86 nucleotides) under Dehalococcoidia bacterium. Its description in RNAcentral is "tRNA-Leu". It matches the Rfam family "tRNA". Rfam says of the family: Transfer RNA (tRNA) molecules are approximately 80 nucleotides in length. Their secondary structure includes four short double-helical elements and three loops (D, anti-codon, and T loops). The record is from RNAcentral. Lineage: Bacteria; Bacillati; Chloroflexota; Dehalococcoidia.